AAUGUUGUAUUUUUGUUUUUUAAUUUUAAUUUUUGGAGAAAAAGAAAGCCAUUUUUUUAAUCAAUUUGUCUUGACCACAGAGCACAGAGUAGCGGGCGAGCCAAAGACAAGUUUAUUUUUAUUGUUUUUUUUUAAAGAAUUAUAACAUAAAGGUUUUAUCAGACAAAGGAUUAAUAAUUAUUACUAUCUAACAUAUAACAC
This 201-nucleotide unclassified non-coding RNA is filed under the name Melitaea cinxia (Glanville fritillary). Its description in RNAcentral is "misc RNA ENSMCXG00005008016.1". The record is from RNAcentral. Lineage: Eukaryota; Metazoa; Arthropoda; Insecta; Lepidoptera; Nymphalidae.